This 431-nucleotide ribosomal RNA is filed under the name uncultured bacterium. RNAcentral describes it as "bacterial SSU rRNA". It matches the Rfam family "Bacterial small subunit ribosomal RNA", at positions 29 to 507 of the family's 1533-position model. The record is from RNAcentral.
AGCGAACGCUGGCGGCAGGCUUAACACAUGCAAGUCGAACGCCCCGCAAGGGGAGUGGCAGACGGGUGAGUAACACGUGGGAACGUACCUUUUGGUUCGGAACAACACAGGGAAACUUGUGCUAAUACCGGAUAAGCCCUUACGGGGAAAGAUUUAUCGCCAAAAGAUCGGCCCGCGUCUGAUUAGCUAGUUGGUGAGGUAAAGGCUCACCAAGGCGACGAUCAGUAGCUGGUCUGAGAGGAUGAUCAGCCACACUGGGACUGAGACACGGCCCAGACUCCUACGGGAGGCAGCAGUGGGGAAUAUUGGACAAUGGGCGCAAGCCUGAUCCAGCCAUGCCGCGUGAGUGAUGAAGGCCCUAGGGUUGUAAAGCUCUUUUGUGCGGGAAGAUAAUGACGGUACCGCAAGAAUAAGCCCCGGCUAACUUCGUG